AUGACUGUACCCGAAUAAGAAGGUCCGGCUAACUUCGUGCCAGCAGCCGCGGUAAUACGAAGGGACCUAGCGUAGUUCGGAAUUACUGGGCUUAAAGAGCUCGUAGGUGGUUAAAAAAGUUGAUGGUGAAAUCCCAAGGCUCAACCUUGGAACUGCCAUCAAAACUUUUUAGCUAGAGUGUGACAGAGGAAAGUGGAAUUUCUAGUGUAGAGGUGAAAUUCGUAGAUAUUAGAAAGAACACCAAAUGCGAAGGCAACUUUCUGGGUCACUACUGACACUGAGGAGCGAAAGCAUGGGUAGCGAAGAGGAUUAGAUACCCUCGUAGUCCAUGCCGUAAACGAUGUGUGCUAGACGUUGGAAAUAUAUUUUCAGUGUCGCAGGAAAACCGAUAAACACACCGCCUGGGGAGUACGACCGCAAGGUUAAAACUCAAAUGAAUUGACGGGGACCCGCACAAGUAGUGGAGCAUGUGGUUUAAUUCGAAGAUACGCGCAGAACCUUACCAACACUUGACAUGUUCGUCGCGACUCUAAGAGAUUAGAGUUUUCGGUUCGGCCGGACGAAACACAGGUGCUGCAUGGCUGUCGUCAGCUCGUGUCGUGAGAUGUUGGGUUAAGUCCCGCAACGAGCGCAACCCUCACUUUUAGUUGCCAUCAUUAAGUUGGGCACUCUGAAAGAACUGCCAGUGAUAAGCUGGAGGAAGGUGGGGAUGACGUCAAGUCCUCAUGGCCCUUACGUGUUGGGCUACACACGUGCUACAAUGGUAUCUACAACAGGAAGCAAAACUGCGAAGUUAAGCAAAUCCCUAAAAGAUACCUCAGUUCGGAUUGCACUCUGCAACUCGAGUGCAUGAAGCUGGAAUUACUAGUAAUCGUGGAUCAGCGUGCCACGGUGAAUGCGUUCCCGGGUCUUGUACACACCGCCCGUCACACCAUGGGAGUUGGUUCUACCUUAAGGCAAGGUUUUAAACCCUUGACCACGGUAUAGUCAGCGACUGGGGUGAAGUCGUAACAAGGUAACC
This 1021-nucleotide ribosomal RNA is filed under the name uncultured bacterium. RNAcentral's name for it is "bacterial SSU rRNA". It matches the Rfam family "Bacterial small subunit ribosomal RNA", at positions 469 to 1501 of the family's 1533-position model. The record is from RNAcentral.